UACGAAGGGGGCUAGCGUUGCUCGGAAUCACUGGGCGUAAAGCGCACGUAGGCGGCUUAUUAAGUCAGGGGUGAAAUCCUGGAGCUUAACUCCAGAACUGCCUUUGAUACUGAUGAGCUUGAGUCCGGGAGAGGUGAGUGGAACUGCGAGUGUAGAGGUGAAAUUCGUAGAUAUUCGCAAGAACACCGGUGGCGAAGGCGGCUCUCUGGACCGAUACUGACGCUGAGGCGCGAAAGCGUGGGGAGCAAACAGG
This 253-nucleotide ribosomal RNA is filed under the name uncultured bacterium. RNAcentral's name for it is "partial 16S ribosomal RNA". It matches the Rfam family "Bacterial small subunit ribosomal RNA", at positions 524 to 776 of the family's 1533-position model. The record is from RNAcentral.